AGUCGAGCGAAUCGAUGGGAGCUUGCUCCCUGAGAUUAGCGGCGGACGGGUGAGUAACACGUGGGCAACCUGCCUAUAAGACUGGGAUAACUUCGGGAAACCGGAGCUAAUACCGGAUACGUUCUUUUCUCGCAUGAGAGAAGAUGGAAAGACGGUUUACGCUGUCACUUAUAGAUGGGCCCGCGGCGCAUUAGCUAGUUGGUGAGGUAAUGGCUCACCAAGGCGACGAUGCGUAGCCGACCUGAGAGGGUGAUCGGCCACACUGGGACUGAGACACGGCCCAGACUCCUACGGGAGGCAGCAGUAGGGAAUCUUCCGCAAUGGACGAAAGUCUGACGGAGCAACGCCGCGUGAACGAAGAAGGCCUUCGGGUCGUAAAGUUCUGUUGUUAGGGAAGAACAAGUACCAGAGUAACUGCUGGUACCUUGACGGUACCUAACCAGAAAGCCACGGCUAACUACGUGCCAGCAGCCGCGGUAAUACGUAGGUGGCAAGCGUUGUCCGGAAUUAUUGGGCGUAAAGCGCGCGCAGGUGGUUCCUUAAGUCUGAUGUGAAAGCCCACGGCUCAACCGUGGAGGGUCAUUGGAAACUGGGGAACUUGAGUGCAGAAGAGGAAAGUGGAAUUCCAAGUGUAGCGGUGAAAUGCGUAGAGAUUUGGAGGAACACCAGUGGCGAAGGCGACUUUCUGGUCUGUAA
Molecule: ribosomal RNA, 696 nt
Filed under: Bacillus sp. FJAT-4503
Lineage: Bacteria; Bacillati; Bacillota; Bacilli; Caryophanales; Bacillaceae
Description: bacterial SSU rRNA
Rfam family: Bacterial small subunit ribosomal RNA
Source: RNAcentral